Molecule: ribosomal RNA, 408 nt
Filed under: Pelophylax cf. bedriagae
Lineage: Eukaryota; Metazoa; Chordata; Amphibia; Anura; Ranidae
Description: partial 12S ribosomal RNA
Rfam family: Bacterial small subunit ribosomal RNA
Source: RNAcentral
UACUAUCAUGCUGUUUCUCAUUUUACACAUGCAAGUCUCAGCACCCCAGUGAGAACGCCCUUUUAACCUACACCAGGAGAAGGAGCUGGCAUCAGGCACAAUCCCUGCCCAUAACACCUAGUCUCACCACACCCCCAAGGGUAAUCAGCAGUGAUAAAUCUUAAAUAUAAGCGACAGCUUGAUUUAGUUAGAGAAAAGAGGGCCGGCUAACCCGGUGCCAGCCGCCGCGGCUACACCGUGGGGCCCGAGCUGAUAGUCACCGGCGUUAAGCGUGAUUAAAGCCCUCAACAAUUAGGGUUAAAUUAAUAUUUAGUAGUGAUAAGCUUGUUAUUAAGAAAACCAUAAACGAAAGUUACCCUAAUUACACUUGAAUCCACGACAACUGGGAAAACAAACUGGGAUUAGAUA